UAGAGUUUGAUCAUGGCUCAGAUUGAACGCUGGCGGCAGGCCUAACACAUGCAAGUCGAGCGGAAACGAUGGAAGCUUGCUUCCAGGCGUCGAGCGGCGGACGGGUGAGUAAUGCAUGGGAAUCUGCCCGAUAGUGGGGGAUAACCUGGGGAAACCCAGGCUAAUACCGCAUACGUCCUACGGGAGAAAGCAGGGGAUCUUCGGACCUUGCGCUAUCGGAUGAGCCCAUGUCGGAUUAGCUUGUUGGUGAGGUAAUGGCUCACCAAGGCGACGAUCCGUAGCUGGUCUGAGAGGAUGAUCAGCCACAUCGGGACUGAGACACGGCCCGAACUCCUACGGGAGGCAGCAGUGGGGAAUAUUGGACAAUGGGCGAAAGCCUGAUCCAGCCAUGCCGCGUGUGUGAAGAAGGCCCUCGGGUUGUAAAGCACUUUCAGUGGGGAAGAAAGCCUUGGGAUUAAUACUCCCGAGGAAGGACAUCACCCACAGAAGAAGCCG
Molecule: ribosomal RNA, 495 nt
Filed under: Halomonas sp. M5-C8
Lineage: Bacteria; Pseudomonadati; Pseudomonadota; Gammaproteobacteria; Oceanospirillales; Halomonadaceae
Description: bacterial SSU rRNA
Rfam family: Bacterial small subunit ribosomal RNA
Source: RNAcentral